AUUGAACGCUGGCGGCAGGCCUAACACAUGCAAGUCGAGCGGAUGAAGGGAGCUUGCUCCUGGAUUCAGCGGCGGACGGGUGAGUAAUGCCUAGGAAUCUGCCUGGUAGUGGGGGAUAACGUCCGGAAACGGGCGCUAAUACCGCAUACGUCCUGAGGGAGAAAGUGGGGGAUCUUCGGACCUCACGCUAUCAGAUGAGCCUAGGUCGGAUUAGCUAGUUGGUGGGGUAAAGGCCUACCAAGGCGACGAUCCGUAACUGGUCUGAGAGGAUGAUCAGUCACACUGGAACUGAGACACGGUCCAGACUGCUACGGGAGGCAGCAGUGGGGAAUAAUGGACAAUGGGCGAAAGCCUGAUACAGCCAUGCCGCGUGUGUGAAGAAGGUCUUCGGAUUGUAAAGCACUUUAAGUUGGGAGGAAGGGCAGUAAGAUAAUACAUUGCUGUUUUGACGUUACCAACAGAAUAAGCACCGGCUAACUUCGUG
RNAcentral lists this ribosomal RNA (484 nucleotides) under uncultured bacterium. RNAcentral describes it as "partial 16S ribosomal RNA". It matches the Rfam family "Bacterial small subunit ribosomal RNA", at positions 30 to 507 of the family's 1533-position model. The record is from RNAcentral.